Molecule: long non-coding RNA, 6445 nt
Filed under: Zea mays
Lineage: Eukaryota; Viridiplantae; Streptophyta; Magnoliopsida; Poales; Poaceae
Description: long non-coding RNA (ZMAY_LNC001158)
Source: RNAcentral
GACUGAUGAUGACCUCUCGUUGAUGGACGACCUGGUAACUCCACGUAUCUUGCCAUCACGCAUGUGUGUCCAGAAAGCAGAACUCGACAUAAUGUGCCCAAAGGCUUGUCCAAGCACGAGUUCAGAGAUAUAGAGGUGAUCAACUUGGAGCUGACAUGUUCUGGGAAACAGAGGAGAGAAGAAGCGUCGUCGGCGGCGGCGGCGGGAAAAACUGGAGAGCGGGGCGGGCCUCAUCUCAUGGGGUGCUUCGUGCUUGGGCUGGCAAUGGCAAGAAGGCCGGCUGGACGUACUGUGCGCGUCACGUAGUAGUAGAGCCCAGAUUUUGCUGUACCCAUGGGCCCUUAUAAAUUUAUGUAUGGAGUUGACAACGAGAAGACCGAAUAAUAUAAUCUCCGUCGGUUUAAAAACUCAGCUAAAUUAUCGAAACAGAUUUGGCACUGUUAGCUAGGAUAGAAAAAGGAAAUAUAUAUAUAUAUAUAUAUAUAUAUAUAUAUAUAUAUAUAUAUAUAAUAUAUAUAUAUAUAUAUAUAUUAUAUAUAUAUAUAUAUAUAUAUAUAUAUAUAUAUAUAUAUAUAUAUAUAUAUAUAUAUAUAUAUAUAUAUAUAUAUAUAUAUAUAUAUAUAUAUAUAGCUUGAGAACAUCAUCCAGCAGCAACAUGUGCCAUUCUCUCCUCUGUACCCUAAACCCUAAAAAACAUUGAGAGCAACCCAAGGUGUGGAGGUGGAACCGGAAAGAAAAAAGUGAGCUUGAACACAAUGUUUUUUCCCCCCAAUCAUGCUAAAUCCACCAAGCUUCAGCACGUUGAUGGAUCGGAGUCCUGAUCGAAGAAUGCACUCGAGGGCUAGCUUGUGGCGAUUCCUGAGCACAUCCCCUGUUUGUUUAGGCAUGGUCUCGUGCGAAAUUGUGAGUCUGUACAGGCACUACAGGAGGAAAGCGAUCUGUCUGAAGCAUCGGCGCUGUUCCCAGUCCCGUGUCCUGGCGUACGUGUCGUUCUCGGUGGCUAGCAGGAUCGCCGAUUCUGGCGUCGUUUUCCGCUGUGGCAAAUUCAAUUCGGCGAGAGAUCUCGAUUCAGCGGCCGGCCAGCAAGGUGUCGCCCGGCGUCGCUGUUUCAAAACAGUCAAAAACCGCCAUCAGAUUAAUAAAUUUCCUUCGUACCCGGUUGCUUCUACUACACUACCACCACUCUCAUAUACCAAGUGGCGGAAUUUCAAGUGGGCCAACAACUUGGCGGAUAAAUCUCAUGUGUGUCUUAAUUGUCCUCUUUUUCAUUUACCUCGCUUGUCAACUCCAUAAACUAAAUAUUAGAGCAUGUACAUUGUUAAUUAACGUAGAGGACUUUGAGGUAUUUAAAGACGCUAUGUGCAAAAAAAAUCGUGGAGUCGUCUCUCCGUGAAGAAACGCCUAUGUCUCGUAACCUAAAUAGCAACAGACGUCACACCUUCCAUUAUACGAGUUCGAAGUCUGUUCUAUCGAUACGUUGUUGUACAAGCGCAUUUACUUCUAUAUUUAUUAAUAAACUAUAUUUAUAGACAUUAUAUAGUAUAAUAGAGUCUUUUAGUUGUCUUGUAUGGAAAACUAUUUUACCGUCUCUUCACUAUACAUGUCCUUAUUAGUUCUCUGAGUACAUAGGUAUUAUUAUCAUCAAAUUCUAUAGUUAAGGAUCGAUUGCACUUACAAGCACGUACGAGGACUACGUACUCUAGAUCUGAUCAGUGGAAGUCUCCUUCCACAGCUUCAUCUUCUCCUGAGCAGUGGUUGCAAUGCUAACAACCUGGGGAUGGGGGGGUUUGGUGUGUAGAGCAAGGGUGAGUACACAUCAACAUACUCAGCAAGUAUCCUGUUUGGCUGUAGUGGACUAGCUUUAUGUGGGGGAUAAGUCAAGCAGUUGCUUUUAGUUGGUCAGAUUAUUAUUUACUAAUAGAAAGCCAGGUUUUAGCAUUAACCCGAGUUAUUAGCCCGAUGUACCCUUUCCAAACGGAAAGAAUACCACUUACCAGUGCCAUAGUCAUAACCAAAACCAUCGAUCUCAUAACCAUCUGUACCAUAACGUCUCUGAUCAAAUACCACUAAUCACUGGAGCUCCCUUGGCCGCUCAUAACCGCGAGCACGGCUGAUAUAUCAGUUUUCAAACACUCUGCAGAGGUUGUGCACUUUACCCACAAGCCGUGAUUCCCUUUCAGCCCGGAGAUCAUGACUCUCCAUUCACUACCGAGGUGACCCAGCAGGGCAUCACUACGUAGCCUUUACAAAGAUUCCCCGGGGCUGUAGCCACCCGUUAGGUUUCCUAAAUGCACCGCACUCCUCCCCAAGGGGCGAACCCAAACUUGGCAGAGCGAGCCGCAUACACCGAGCCCCAUUGACGGCACGACGGCUAAGUGAUCUACACCCCGGAUCCUCUAAUUAUUCAGCUAAGGGCAUCCCAUUCCACCCUCAUGGUUGCACUGUUUUCCCGGGCGGUCAUCCAUAGAACAGGUCCUUACGGAGAGGCACUCGAGAAACCGCUCGAGCCCCCUUAAGGCCACAAGUACAACAUCAUAAUAAGAGAAGGGAAAACAGCGUAUCAUAGAUAAUCUCAUCAUGUUCAUUGAUUAGAGUUUGAGCAAUAGCACAAAGCUAAACAAUAAUAGUCCAACCCACAUAGGUAAACAAGGAUAUGGAUAACAAAAGCUAGUCAAUCCUUAGGCAUAAAUGUGUAAAGCGGGAGGUGAAUUAAAUAAUGAAUAGGACAGAGAUAGGUCAAGGGACACUUGCCUCCACCAACCGACUGCUGCUCAGGGGCUUCUCCUGCGAGUUCCUCGGGCUCUUCAACCGGAUCGUUCCCUAUGCGAGUGCAAACAUACAUACAUCCAUCCAUUGAAAUUAGGAAACCAACAAUACACCAUACAAGAGAACAAGUAGAUUAAACAUGCAUAGAAUAUCACAUACAAUAAUGAAUUUACCAUGGUUAGAAAGAGGCGGGGAAAGGUCUCGCGAGAGUUAAAGCUUAUGCCCGAGACGCACUACGGGUAAACAAAUAACUAAACGCUACGUGCUCUAGUUCCAAUUGGUUCUAACAAAAGAAUUAGUUACAUGCACUAAUGUAAACGUGACCACUUUUAGUAGAUUAACAUUGAAUGAGAUAGAUGAUUAGUUAUACAAAUUAACUAACGUAACCAAUUUCCAAAUUGAGACUCCUAUCUUAUUAAUAUAAACACGUGAUUAGCGCGCAUAGGACACGGGGGGGGGGGGGGGUAGACGGGGGCGUUUGGGGGGGGUAGACAGGGACACGACGGGUCGUGCCGAGGCACUGCGCACUACGCGAGCACGCGCGCGAGGCCGCACGCACACGCCACGAGCUAGUCGUGCGCACGUCGGGGCCGAGCGCUAGCCGAGCUCAAAGCCGCGCGCUAAAGGCACGCUGGGCCGAGCUCAAGGCCGCGCCGGGGCCGUCACGACGCGAGCAAGGCACGCCGGAGCGGGCGGACGAGCACGGCGCACGGGCGGGGCGAAGCACGGGCGGGGCCGGGACGGCACGGGGCCGAGGUGGGCGCGGCCGAACCGGGCGCGGGCGCGGCGGGGACGGCCGAGCCGGGGCGGGCUCGCCGGGGGGCGACCGAACCGGGUGCGGGGGCGGGCGGGUCGCCGGAGGGCGGCGGCCGGGUCAGGCACGGGGGCGGGUUCGCCGGGGCGGCCGAGCCGGGCACGGGACAGGGCGGGCUCGCCGGGGCGCCGGCCGGACGGAGCGGGGUCGGGCUCGCCGGGGCCGGACGGGGUCGGGGCGGGGGCGGCCGGACGCGGGGUCGGGGCGGGGGCUGCCGGACGCGGGGUCGGGGCGGGGGCUGCUCGCCGAGGCGGGGUCGGGGCGGGGCUCGCCGGGGGGCCGAGGCGGCUCGCCGGAGCCGGACAGGGUCGGGGCGAGGGCGGCUCGCCGAGGCGGGGGCGGGCGCGGGGUCGGGGCGGGGGCUGCUCGCCGAGGCGGGGUCGGGGCGCGGGCUCGCCGGGGCGGGGGCCGGGCGCGGCGGCGCCGGCUGAGGACGGCGCGGGACGUCGGGGCGGGGGCGGACGCGGGACGUUGGGGCGGGGGCGGCCGAACCGGGUGGCCGGGCGGGCGAGGGAGGAGGAGGGGGAAGGGGGAAGGAGAGGGGAGGAGGAGGGGGCCUCACCGUGGCACGGGGGGCGGCGCGGCGGCGCUAGGGCAGGGGAGCGGCGGCGGCAGCGCUAGGGAAGGGGGAGGGCGCCGGCGGCGCUAGGGCAGGGAAGAGGGAGUUGGGGAAGGGGAGGGGUAUGACAGGCGGGGCCCGCGGGGGAGAGGAGAGAGAUUUGGGGGGAGGGGGAGGGAGGGGCGGCUGGGCCGGCCAUGGGCCCAAAGCGGGGCGUGGGGGGGGGGGGGCGAGGUGGGCCGCGGCCAAGUCGGCCCACGACGCGAGGGGAGGGGAGGGGGCGAGCCGGCUGGGCCGACCGGCCAGCUGGGCCGCUCGCGCCAAGGGGGGGCGGCUGGGCCAAAAGGGGAGGAGAGGGAGGAGAGAGAAAAGAAAAGGUUUGCCCUUUUUUAUAUCUAUUUUCUAUAUGAAUGCUUUCACACUUUCAAACAACCAAAAAAAUGCAUGGUUCGACAUGAUGCAGCAAAUCAAGGAAAUUAACCCUAGGGUUUACUAUUAUCACGUAACUUAAAGUUUUGAAGACGGUUGAGGUUUUAGCGAAAAGAAAAAGGGAAAGAGAAGUAACACCCGAAUUUGGAGAGUGAUACAGAAAGAAGAAAAAAAAUCCAACUCGAAAUUCGGGGCGUUACAGUUUGAAUCAUAACCAAGUAAAAAACUUUCUACAGCCUUAGGAGCAAAUUUAGAUUUUCUACCUCUUUUAACAAGAAUAAAACAUUUGCUACCAAAGACUCUAAAAUAUGAAACAUUGGGCUUUUUACCGGUUAGGAGUUCAUAUGAUGUCUUCUUGAGGAUUCGGUGAAGGUAGAGAUGGUUGAUGGCGUAGAAAGCGGUGUUGAUUGCUUCCGCCCAAAACCGGUCCGAAGUCUUGUAUUCAUCAAGCAUGGUCCUCGCCAUGUCAAGUAGAGUUCUAUUCUUCCUCUCCACUACACCAUUUUGUUGUGGUGUGUAGGGAGAAGAGAACUCAUGCUUGAUGCCUUCGUCCUCAAGGAAGCCUUCUAUUUGUGAGUUCUUGAACUCCGUCCCGUUGUCGCUUCUAAUCUAUUUGAUCCUUAAGCCGAACUCACUUUGAGCUCGUCUCAAGAAUCCCUUUAAGGUCUCUUGGGUUUGUGGCUUUUCUUGCAAAAAGAACACCCAAGUGAAGCGAGAAUAAUCAUCCACAAUUACAAAACAAUACUUACUACCGCCGAUGCUUAUGUAAGCAAUCGAGUCGAAUAGGUCCAUGUGGAGUAGCUCAAGCGGCCUGUCGGUCGUCAUGAUGUUCUUGUGUGGAUGAUGAACACCAACUUGCUUUCCUGCUUGACAUGCGCUACAAACCUUGUCUUUCUCAAAAUGAACAUUGGUUAGUCCCAAAAUGUGCUCUCCCUUUAGAAGCUUAUAAAGAUUCUUCAUCCCAACAUGGGCUAGUCGGCGGUGCCAGAGCCAACCCAUGUUAGUCUUAGCAAUUAAGCAAGUGUCGAGUUCGGCUAUAUUAAAAUCAACUAAGUAUAGAUGACCCUCUAACACUCCCUUAAAUGCUACUGAAUCAUCACUUCUUUUAAAGAUAGGAACACCUAAAUCUGUAAAAAGACAGUUGUAGCCCAUUUUACAUAAUUGAGAAACAGAAAGAAAAUUGUAAUCUAAAGAAUCUACAAGAAAAACAUUGGAAAUAGAAUGGUCAGGAGAUAUAGCAAUUUUACCCAGUCCUUUGACCAAACCUUGAUUUCCAUCCCCGAAUGUGAUAGCUCUUUGGGGAUCAUGGUUUUUCUCGUAGGAGGAGAACAUCCUUUUCUCCCAUGUCAUGUGAUUUGUGCACCCGCUAUCAAUGAUCCAACUUGAGCCCCCGGAUGCAUAAACCUACAAAACAAUUUUAGGCCUUGUUCUUAGGUACCUAAACGGUCUUGGGUCCUUUCACAUUAGAAACAAGCACCUUGGGUACCCAAACACAAGUCUCUGAGCCCUUGUGUUUGGCCCCAACAUAUUUGGCAACUACUUUGCCUGAUUUAUUAGUUAAAACAUAUGAUGCAUCAAAAGUCUUAAAUGAAAUGUUAGGUUCAUUUGAUGCACUGUGACGACUGAUGACAACAUAAAACCUGUGGUUACAUGCAGGGAGUAGGGAAGGCACUGUCGAUCUCUUCUUGAAGUCAGCUGAGUAUUUGGACUGUGCAGUUCAUCAUGUACUCAUACAUAUACCACCUCAAAGACGCCUUAUUAAUUCUGUUUUUUAUUGCAUUAAUUCGGAGCACUGAACAUAGGAGUUCACCGUAGAAGUUCAGUGGUAACACUGAUGAUGACUAUGUACUCUUUUAUGAAAGCCUUGCUAAAAGAAG